GGCACAUUUUACUGAAAAAGACUACGUGCAGGAAACUAUUCAUGGGCGCAAACCCACCAUACAGAGACUUAAGUCUACUGCCAUUCCCAGCCUAUUUUCCUGGACCAAGCAAGAGACUGAAUCGUCCGCAAAAAGAAAAAUCAGGGCAGUUUCCUGUGAAAACAAAAGAACUAAACUUGAUGAAUAUUGUAGUCGAAAUCUAGAGGAAAGUUUGAUUGUAAAGUUGGUUUUCCUGAAGAAGUCAUUCAUACUGCAGAAAGGAUUUAUGACUGUCCACCACCAACUGCCGAGCUAAUUAUGAGGUUCACAGAUGGAAUUACGCAAACACCAUCAAUGUCUAUGUUUUCAUCAGAGAAUUUUGAAAUGAAGACAUGUGACACAGCCAUGCAUUUUUAUACCGGUUUAGAGUUGUAUACUAAAUUUUUAUUUGUUUUGACCACACUUGGUCCAGCAGCACAUUGUUUGAGAGACAUAUAUUUUCAAAUUGAUAGGGUGUCAGUUGAAAAUCUGUUUUUUUAUGACUUUGAUGAAAUUGAGGCAUUAUACAACCAACUUUGAACUGUCUAGAUUCUAGAUUGAAUCUAGUGUUAAGAAUAUUGUGUAUACAUGGAUUGUUUUUAUGUCUAAACAGUGGUGUGAGGCUAACACUUGGCCAUCUAGUGGUUUAGUCAGGUAUUUUUCGCCAUCCAACUUCAAAUUAAAGUUUCCUACAACUUGGAUUAUUAUUGACAGCACAGAAUAUCCCGUGAUAAAACCUAAAGCUCCUAGAGCUCAGGCAACCUUUUCAUCAUAUAAAAACAGAAACACUGAAAAUACUUGUAUGUUCGACACCUGGUGGUUUAGUCAACUAUGUCUCUAAUGCAAAUGUUGGUUGUACCAGUGACUGUGAAAUAAUGUAGUUGAAAGAUGUAGAAUAGUUCAAUUAUGUGAUCCAGGUGACAGUGUGAUGGCAGACAAAGGUUUAAAUGUGCAAGAUUUGUUUGCUAACUUU
Mytilus californianus (California mussel) is the source of this 991-nucleotide long non-coding RNA. RefSeq lists it as uncharacterized. Lineage: Eukaryota; Metazoa; Mollusca; Bivalvia; Mytilida; Mytilidae. The transcript has 2 exons. The record is from RefSeq and is a predicted model, not a curated record.